ACCUGCGGAAGGAUCAUUACAGUAUUCUUUUUGCCAGCGCUUAAUUGCGCGGCGAAAAAACCUUACACACAGUGUUUUUUGUUAUUACAAGAACUUUUGCUUUGGUCUGGACUAGAAAUAGUUUGGGCCAGAGGUUUACUGAACUAAACUUCAAUAUUUAUAUUGAAUUGUUAUUUAUUUAAUUGUCAAUUUGUUGAUUAAAUUCAAAAAAUCUUCAAAACUUUCAACAACGGAUCUCUUGGUUCUCGCAUCGAUGAAGAACGCAGCGAAAUGCGAUAAGUAAUAUGAAUUGCAGAUUUUCGUGAAUCAUCGAAUCUUUGAACGCACAUUGCGCCCUCUGGUAUUCCAGAGGGCAUGCCUGUUUGAGCGUCAUUUCUCUCUCAAACCUUCGGGUUUGGUAUUGAGUGAUACUCUUAGUCGAACUAGGCGUUUGCUUGAAAUGUAUUGGCAUGAGUGGUACUGGAUAGUGCUAUAUGACUUUCAAUGUAUUAGGUUUAUCCAACUCGUUGAAUAGUUUAAUGGUAUAUUUCUCGGUAUUCUAGGCUCGGCCUUACAAUAUAACAAACAAGUUUGACCUCAAAUCAGGUAGGAUUACCCGCUGAACUUAAGCAUAUCAAUAAGGCGGAG
This 627-nucleotide ribosomal RNA is filed under the name Debaryomyces hansenii. RNAcentral describes it as "eukaryotic LSU rRNA". The stretch from base 219 to 372 matches the Rfam family "5.8S ribosomal RNA". Lineage: Eukaryota; Fungi; Ascomycota; Pichiomycetes; Serinales; Debaryomycetaceae. The record is from RNAcentral.